UACAAGCACACAAUCCAAUUGUACUGAACCGCAGGGUCCCGAUUUGAACAUUGUCUUUUUGUGAUGUGGCCCCUUGUUAUAAUACAUAUCUACAUAUGACCACGGAGCGGUAGCUGGCGAAAUUAUGCUUGACACAAGCUAAAUGAAGGGAGUGGAGGUUUUUAAGAAGAAGUUUUGAUGUUUGGCGACAAACAAAACCCUCCUGUGUGUAGGAGCCCUUAGAGAACACCUGCCUUCUAAAAUUGGAUUUGUGUUUGCACAAUCCAUGCAAUUGAUGCUCGAAGAGAAUUUCAGAGAUAUAUAUAUGCUUUUCGGGAUGAUCCAGAUCUGUAAAAUUACAUAGAUUUUGUUGAACAGGGGAUAGGUUUAGCAUCCUCCACUUCCUAUGAAAUUAUAGGGAUUGUUUUUUAGUUCUGCUGCGGUUUGAGUUCUGAGGGAUACAUUGAAUAUUUCAACUGCACUUUACCCAGUGUUGAGCGAUGCGGUUUACCAUUUUCGUGUUGCAUAAACGCUACAGACAUUAGUUCCAGUUUACUCAUUAUUAUGUUUGGAUGUGGAGUGCAGACUCUAUUGGUGGCUGAGGCUAGCAAGAAAGUGUGGACUUCUGGCUGGAGAGGAACCUCUACACGAUAGCCAUCAUUGCCUUCAGCACUGUAUUAUCCUAGCUCUUUGUCAUUUACCUUGCGAAGACUUUGAUUGCAGAAGUCGCGCUUGGUUAGGGUGCAUUUGUAAAUCCUUCAUCCUUCUUUCCCCCACACAAAUAUCGUCAUAUUUUUGUAAAUGUGAGUAUGUAAAUCAUAUCUAGUCUCCCGUAGAUGAAUCCAUUAUUAAAUUGUGUAACAUGAAAGAGGAUACAAAAAAAUUAACUAUUUUGAAUACUUUUUUAUAUGGGAUAGAUGAAGAAUGUGUAAUGAUGAUUCGUAGAGAAAAGGGAGAGAAAGACAUUUAAGGAGUUUUUGUUGUGUUUCUAUGUAACCAUUUCUUUUUUUUUCGAUUGAGGAAGCACCUUCUUCGCAACAGACUGUCUGACUCGAAAACGUAAAACAUGUAGUACUUAGAUAUGUUAAUAUAAUUAAC
Molecule: long non-coding RNA, 1077 nt
Organism: Nicrophorus vespilloides
Lineage: Eukaryota; Metazoa; Arthropoda; Insecta; Coleoptera; Silphidae
Exons: 3
Source: RefSeq, a predicted model, not a curated record